UUGUGUUAGGAUACUUUCAUUCUAUUGUUUACUGCAUUACUGUUCCCUGUGGGGAUUUUUACAGUACAUUUAAUAUCUGUUUUGGGUUCUGACAGCCCCAGCUACCCCAUUAUGGACCCCAUGCAAACCCCUGUCACUGGGGAAAGUGGCCUCACUCCCUCCCAGGAGUUCCAGGCCCUCAUUGACUCCACCAUGCAGAGGGCUCUGGCUUCGGCCAUGGGAUCAGUAUCCUCAUCCCUGUCUCACACCAUUCAGCAGGCGUUGUCCCAACCCCUGCCUCCCUCUGUGGUACCCAAUUCUCAGCCUGUGCUGCAGCCUCAGUCUGGCCGCAAAGCACAGGCUAAACGGAAACACGUCUUCCAUGAUAUGAUACAGGUGAAACCUGCCCUGACUGACGUGCCUAUGGCCGUCCAAGAUGGCGCGCUACCGCACAAGAGAGCCGCUGGCCGAGCAAAAUCGGCUGGAAAAGGGAGCGUGCCCAUGUUGAUGAUAGAUCUGACUCAAAUCAGAGUGAGGAGUCGUGCUCGGAUGCCCAUAAGUACACCUCUUAUGAGGAAGGGGGCUCCGAUGCUGAGGCGGGGUCUGACGCUUCGGCACUACCUCCGGGCGAG
Non-coding RNA from Pelobates cultripes (western spadefoot toad), 611 nucleotides. The record is from the annotation of a GenBank genome assembly. Lineage: Eukaryota; Metazoa; Chordata; Amphibia; Anura; Pelobatidae.